Odocoileus virginianus texanus is the source of this 303-nucleotide long non-coding RNA. RefSeq lists it as uncharacterized. The record is from RefSeq and is a predicted model, not a curated record. Lineage: Eukaryota; Metazoa; Chordata; Mammalia; Artiodactyla; Cervidae.
GAAACCUCUGUGGGGCUUCCCUGUCCAUCUCUGCCAAUUUGAAAUACCAGAUUCUGCAAUGCUGACUUCAGUCUUCACACCCACACCUUGCCUUUUACUGUGAGACACAGUUCCUGUUUUAAGGAUUUUACAGUUUUGCAGAGAGAUAAGAGAGGUGCACGGCCAUCAGAAUACAAUACAUUAAACGUCAAGAACAAGAAAAAUGAACUGCUGUGCAAUGGAAAUUCGGAGUAUAGAAGCACUUUUUCCUUUCCUGAACCUUGAAUACAAGAAGGAGCAUCAAGGCAAUUCUGGAUAAGUAAG